RNAcentral lists this long non-coding RNA (507 nucleotides) under Coturnix japonica (Japanese quail). Its description in RNAcentral is "lncRNA (ENSCJPG00005014053.1)". The record is from RNAcentral. Lineage: Eukaryota; Metazoa; Chordata; Aves; Galliformes; Phasianidae.
CGUGUCUUAACCAGAGGAAAAUAUUACAUGUUUUCACCCUGAAACAGUCAACUGCUAGUGGAGAUUGGGUGGGGAAGAGGACAUAACAGAACGAAAGCCAAGAAGAAAAUUGCAGCAAAGGGAUGGAGGAGUGCUGCUUAACCGUCUGUCUCCUAAAGUCUUCAGAUGGUGACUAGAUGCCUACAGAUAAGACAUUUUUUAAUCAAGAAGUUAGAGAACUCCCUAGCUGAAAUGACACGGAGUGAGUCAUAUGGUACAUCAGACCAGAUCAUCUAAAGAAAUAUUCAGGCUUUCAAAUAUGCAUCCCUUUGAAUUCAGUUCCCAGGGCAGAGUGAAGAAAAUGGGCAUCAAUUUAGACUGUCUCUGCCAGGAAACAUAUAAUAAUGCUGUCGUUUCUAAGAAAACUCUGCAGCAGCAGGCUCAGACAGCUAUGAAGUAGAACACAUGCAUGGAUUUGUCAUCCUGCCUUACUCUGAAACAACAUUAGCUUCUUUGUCAAUUGUGAGG